Molecule: ribosomal RNA, 429 nt
Filed under: Gemmatimonadota bacterium
Lineage: Bacteria; Pseudomonadati; Gemmatimonadota
Description: Gemmatimonadetes bacterium partial 16S ribosomal RNA
Rfam family: Bacterial small subunit ribosomal RNA
Source: RNAcentral
GAGGGAAUCUUCGGCAAUGGACGAAAGUCUGACCGAGCAACGCCGCGGGAGUGAAGAAGGUUUUCGGAUCGUAAAACUCUGUUGUUAGAGAAGAACAAGGACGUUAGUAACUGAACGUCCCCUGACGGUAUCUAACCAGAAAGCCACGGCUAACUACGUGCCAGCAGCCGCGGUAAUACGUAGGUGGCAAGCGUUGUCCGGAUUUAUUGGGCGUAAAGCGAGCGCAGGCGGUUUCUUAAGUCUGAUGUGAAAGCCCCCGGCUCAACCGGGGAGGGUCAUUGGAAACUGGGGGACUUGGGUGCAGAAGAGGGGAGUGGAAUUCCAUGUGUAGCGGUGAAAUGCGUAAAUAUAUGGAGGAACACCAGUGGCGAAGGCGGCUCUCUGGUCUGUAACUGACGCUGGGGCUCGAAAGCGUGGGGAGCAAACAGG